Molecule: ribosomal RNA, 980 nt
Filed under: uncultured bacterium
Lineage: Bacteria
Description: bacterial SSU rRNA
Rfam family: Bacterial small subunit ribosomal RNA
Source: RNAcentral
GAUGAACGCUAGCGGCAGGCUUAACACAUGCAAGUCGAGGGGUAGGAGAAGCUUGCUUUUCUGAGACCGGCGCACGGGUGCGUAACGCGUAUGCAAUCUACCUUUCACAGAGGGAUAGCCCAGAGAAAUUUGGAUUAAUACCUCAUAGUAUAAUUGAAUGGCAUCAUUUAAUUAUUAAAGAUUUAUCGGUGAAAGAUGAGCAUGCGUCCCAUUAGCUAGUUGGUAUGGUAACGGCAUACCAAGGCAACGAUGGGUAGGGGUCCUGAGAGGGAGAUCCCUCACACUGGUACUGAGACACGGACCAGACUCCUACGGGAGGCAGCAGUGAGGAAUAUUGGACAAUGGGCGCAAGCCUGAUCCAGCCAUGCCGCGUGCAGGAUGACGGUCCUAUGGAUUGUAAACUGCUUUUAUACAGGAAGAAACACUCCCUCGUGAGGGAGCUUGACGGUGCUGUAAGAAUAAGGAUCGGCUAACUCCGUGCCAGCAGCCGCGGUAAUACGGAGGAUCCAAGCGUUAUCCGGAAUCAUUGGGUUUAAAGGGUCCGUAGGCGGUCAGGUAAGUCAGUGGUGAAAGCCCAUCGCUCAACGGUGGAACGGCCAUUGAUACUGUCUGACUUGAAUUAUUAGGAAGUAACUAGAAUAUGUAGUGUAGCGGUGAAAUGCUUAGAGAUUACAUGGAAUACCAAUUGCGAAGGCAGGUUACUACUAAUUGAUUGACGCUGAUGGACGAAAGCGUGGGUAGCGAACAGGAUUAGAUACCCUGGUAGUCCACGCCGUAAACGAUGGAUACUAGCUGUUGGGAGCAAUCUCAGUGGCUAAGCGAAAGUGAUAAGUAUCCCACCUGGGGAGUACGAACGCAAGUUUGAAACUCAAAGGAAUUGACGGGGGCCCGCACAAGCGGUGGAGCAUGUGGUUUAAUUCGAUGAUACGCGAGGAACCUUACCAAGGCUUAAAUGUAGAUUGACCGGUUGGAAACAGACU